AUCCCGGCGCUCGAGAGGACGCGGGGCUGCGCAAAUGGCUUGUCCCGCUCUCGGUCUGGAAGCUCUUCAGCCCCUGCAGCCCGAGCCGCCCCCCGAGCCCGCCUUCUCCGAGGCUCAGAAGUGGAUUGAGCAAGUAACUGGCAGAAGUUUUGGUGAUAAAGAUUUUCGGACAGGUUUAGAAAAUGGAAUCCUCCUCUGCGAGUUGCUGAAUGCUAUAAAGCCAGGACUUGUUAAAAAGAUCAAUAGAUUGCCUACCCCCAUUGCAGGACUGGACAAUAUUAUCUUAUUCUUGAGAGGUUGUAAAGAGCUUGGCCUUAAAGAAUCUCAACUUUUUGACCCGAGUGACCUCCAGGAUACAUCCAACAGAGUAACAGUCAAGUAAGUAAAACGUGAUUUAUGUUUAAGGAAAACUCCUUUAUAGUUUGAUUUGCAAUUUUGUGAUAAUGUUGUAAGUUCUAAGAGACAGAGAAUUG
This 473-nucleotide small RNA is filed under the name Pongo abelii (Sumatran orangutan). Its description in RNAcentral is "processed transcript". The record is from RNAcentral. Lineage: Eukaryota; Metazoa; Chordata; Mammalia; Primates; Hominidae.